UGCAUUAAGGCCUCCAUCCAAUCCCAGAAGUGGUGAAUUUGAAGUUGCCUAGGUUGAUGCUGAUAUGUGUAUCACCAGAGGAAAUAGAGGAGAGCUCACGGUUUAUGUGAUCUCGUAAUUUAUUUUCCUGUGCAGUUUCUCUACCAUCUCUUCACAUUCAAGGUUCUCUAUUCAUCUUUCUAUAUCAAAAAGCAUCUUGUCUAUCUAUUUUGUGUUCUGUAUGGUAAGAUGUUUUUCCCCCCCGAGCAACAAAGAAACCAUUGUUCAAAUGUAAAUUUUUAACAUUUCACAUGUAGACCUCUUAAAGUGCAAUUGGCAGAAUUUGAUACUCUUUCUGACCUUUUUGCAAUUGCAUUUCCCCAGUGGAUCUAUGCUACAAUCCCUA
RNAcentral lists this unclassified non-coding RNA (385 nucleotides) under Hevea brasiliensis (rubber tree). The record is from RNAcentral. Lineage: Eukaryota; Viridiplantae; Streptophyta; Magnoliopsida; Malpighiales; Euphorbiaceae.